AGCGAACGCUGGCGGCAGGCUUAACACAUGCAAGUCGAACGGUCCUUCGGGAUAGUGGCGGACGGGUGAGUAACGCGUGGGAACGUACCCUUAGGUUCGGAACAACACAGGGAAACUUGUGCUAAUACCGGAUGAGCCCUUCGGGGGAAAGAUUUAUCGCCUUUGGAGCGGCCCGCGUCUGAUUAGCUUGUUGGUGAGGUAAUGGCUCACCAAGGCUACGAUCAGUAGCUGGUCUGAGAGGAUGGCCAGCCACACUGGGACUGAGACACGGCCCAGACUCCUACGGGAGGCAGCAGUGGGGAAUCUUGCGCAAUGGGCGAAAGCCUGACGCUGCCAUGCCGCGUGGAUGAUGAAGGUCUUAGGAUUGUAAAAUCCUUUCACCGGGGACGAUAAUGACGGUACCCGGAGAAGAAGCCCCGGCUAACUUCGUGCCAGCCGCCGCAGUAA
This 447-nucleotide ribosomal RNA is filed under the name uncultured bacterium. RNAcentral's name for it is "partial 16S ribosomal RNA". It matches the Rfam family "Bacterial small subunit ribosomal RNA", at positions 29 to 523 of the family's 1533-position model. The record is from RNAcentral.